This 429-nucleotide ribosomal RNA is filed under the name Pseudomonadota bacterium. RNAcentral's name for it is "Proteobacteria bacterium partial 16S ribosomal RNA". It matches the Rfam family "Bacterial small subunit ribosomal RNA", at positions 355 to 776 of the family's 1533-position model. The record is from RNAcentral. Lineage: Bacteria; Pseudomonadati; Pseudomonadota.
UGGGGAAUAUUGGACAAUGGGCGAAAGCCUGAUCCAGCCAUGCCGCGUGUGUGAAGAAGGUCUUCGGAUUGUAAAGCACUUUAAGUUGGGAGGAAGGGCAGUAAGCGAAUACCUUGCUGUUUUGACGUUACCGACAGAAUAAGCACCGGCUAACUCUGUGCCAGCAGCCGCGGUAAUACAGAGGGUGCAAGCGUUAAUCGGAAUUACUGGGCGUAAAGCGCGCGUAGGUGGUUCGUUAAGUUGAAUGUGAAAGCCCCGGGCUCAACCUGGGAACUGCAUCCAAAACUGGCGAGCUAGAGUAGGGCAGAGGGUGGUGGAAUUUCCUGUGUAGCGGUGAAAUGCGUAGAUAUAGGAAGGAAUACCAGUGGCGAAGGCGACCACCUGGGCUCAUACUGACACUGAGGUGCGAAAGCGUGGGGAGCAAACAGG